GAAUCCAAGAAUUUCACCUCUAGCAGUCAAGUAUGAAUACCCAUAUCAGUUCCUAUGCAUUAAUCACCCAAAUGAACACUUAGUCGCAGAUAUUCACUUAUUUGUAUUGAAAUACUAUGCUGAAAAAUACAACAAGUAAUGCUACGAGCACUAUUAUUAAAUCAAAGUAACAGCUAAAACUCAAUAUUGAGUCUUAAAUUAAGGUUAGAACCAACAUAUCCGAAAGGCUUGCAAGCAACAACCUUUUAUUUAGCUACGAGCGUUUUAACUGCAACAAUCUUAAUAUAUGCUUUUGGAGCUGGAAUUACCGCC
RNAcentral lists this unclassified non-coding RNA (312 nucleotides) under uncultured bacterium. RNAcentral describes it as "contains 16S-23S intergenic spacer region". The record is from RNAcentral.